AAAAGAGCAGAUGACCAUUGGUCUACU
RNAcentral lists this small RNA (27 nucleotides) under Bombyx mori (domestic silkworm). RNAcentral describes it as "ovarian small RNA-4168". The record is from RNAcentral. Lineage: Eukaryota; Metazoa; Arthropoda; Insecta; Lepidoptera; Bombycidae.